This 509-nucleotide ribosomal RNA is filed under the name uncultured bacterium. RNAcentral describes it as "bacterial SSU rRNA". It matches the Rfam family "Bacterial small subunit ribosomal RNA", at positions 29 to 526 of the family's 1533-position model. The record is from RNAcentral.
AGUGAACGCUGGCGGCAGGCCUAACACAUGCAAGUCGAACGGCAGCACAGCAGUAGCAAUACUGUGGGUGGCGAGUGGCGGACGGGUGAGGAAUGCAUCGGAAUCUGCCUAUUUGUGGGGGAUAACGUAGGGAAACUUACGCUAAUACCGCAUACGACCUACGGGUGAAAGUGGGGGACCGCAAGGCCUCACGCAGAUAGAUGAGCCGAUGCCGGAUUAGCUAGUUGGCGGGGUAAAGGCCCACCAAGGCGACGAUCCGUAGCUGGUCUGAGAGGAUGAUCAGCCACACUGGAACUGAGACACGGUCCAGACUCCUACGGGAGGCAGCAGUGGGGAAUAUUGGACAAUGGGCGCAAGCCUGAUCCAGCCAUGCCGCGUGAGUGAAGAAGGCCUUCGGGUUGUAAAGCUCUUUUGUCCGGAAAGAAAAGCAUUCGGUUAAUAACCGGGUGUCAUGACGGUACCGGAAGAAUAAGCACCGGCUAACUUCGUGCCAGCAGCCGCCGUAAAAC